UGGGGAAUUUUCCGCAAUGGGCGAAAGCCUGACGGAGCAAUACCGCGUGAGGGAGGAAGGCUUUUGGGUUGUAAACCUCUUUUCUCAAGGAAGAAGCAAGUGACGGUACUUGAGGAAUCAGCAUCGGCUAACUCCGUGCCAGCAGCCGCGGUAAUACGGAGGAUGCAAGCGUUAUCCGGAAUUAUUGGGCGUAAAGCGUCCGCAGGUGGCGUCUCAAGUCUGCUGUCAAAGACAGAAGCUCAACUUCUGAAAGGCGGUGGAAACUGGGAUGCUAGAGUACGGUAGGGGUUGAGGGAAUUCCCAGUGUAGCGGUGAAAUGCGUAGAUAUUGGGAAGAACACCAGUGGCGAAGGCGCUCAACUGGGCCGUAACUGACACUCAGGGACGAAAGCUAGGGUAGCGAAAGGGAUUAGAUACCCCCGUAGUCC
Molecule: ribosomal RNA, 427 nt
Filed under: uncultured prokaryote
Description: bacterial SSU rRNA
Rfam family: Bacterial small subunit ribosomal RNA
Source: RNAcentral